This 809-nucleotide ribosomal RNA is filed under the name uncultured bacterium. Its description in RNAcentral is "bacterial SSU rRNA". It matches the Rfam family "Bacterial small subunit ribosomal RNA", at positions 58 to 917 of the family's 1533-position model. The record is from RNAcentral.
CAAGUCGAACGCAGUAGCAAUACUGAGUGGCAGACGGGUGAGUAACAUGUGGGAAUCUGCCUUGUGGUUCAGGACAACAUUGGGAAACUGAUGCUAAUACUGGAUAAGCCCUUACGGGGAAAGUUUUAAUGCCAUAAGAUGAGCCCGCAUUUGAUUAGUUAGUUGGUGAGGUAAUGGCUCACCAAGACAAUGAUCAAUAGCUGAUCUGAGAGGAUGAUCAGCCACACUGGGACUGAGACACGGCCCAGACUCCUACGGGAGGCAGCAGUGGGGAAUCUUGCACAAUGGAGGAAACUCUGAUGCAGCGAUGCCGCGUGAGUGAAGAAGGCCUUUGGGUUGUAAAGCUCUUUUGUAGGGGAAGAUAAUGACUGUACCCUAAGAAUAAGGUCCGGCUAACUUCGUGCCAGCAGCCGCGGUAAUACGAAGGGACCUAGCGUAGUUCGGAAUUACUGGGCGUAAAGCGCGCGUAGGCCGUUGAGUUAGUUAAUUGUGAAAUCCCAAAGCUUAACUUUGGAACUGCAAUUAAAACUGCUCGACUAGAGUUUGAUAGAGGAAAGCGGAAUACAUAGUGUAGAGGUGAAAUUCGUAGAUAUUAUGUAGAACACCAGUUGCGAAGGCGGCUUUCUGGAUCAACACUGACGCUGAGGCGCGAAAGUAUGGGUAGCAAAGAGGAUUAGAUACCCUCGUAGUCCAUACCAUAAACGAUGAUUGCUAGAUGUUGGAAUUUAUUUUCAGUAUCGCAGCUAACGCAUUAAGCAAUCCGCCUGGGGAGUACGACCGCAAGGUUAAAACUCAAAUGAAUUGACGGG